RNAcentral lists this ribosomal RNA (447 nucleotides) under uncultured bacterium. RNAcentral's name for it is "bacterial SSU rRNA". It matches the Rfam family "Bacterial small subunit ribosomal RNA", at positions 355 to 825 of the family's 1533-position model. The record is from RNAcentral.
UCGGGAAUUUUGGGCAAUGGGCGAAAGCCUGACCCAGCAACGCCGCGUGAAGGAUGAAGUAUUUCGGUAUGUAAACUUCGUAAGAAUAGGAAGAAUAAAUGACGGUACUAUUUGUAAGGUCCGGCUAACUACGUGCCAGCAGCCGCGGUAAUACGUAGGGACCAAGCGUUGUUCGGAUUUAUUGGGUUUAAAGGGUGCGUAGGCGGUUUAUUAAGUCAGUGGUGAAAGACGGUCGCUCAACGAUUGCAGUGCCAUUGAUACUGGUAGACUUGAGUAUGAUUGAGGUAGCUGGAAUGGAUAGUGUAGCGGUGAAAUGCAUAGAUAUUAUCCAGAACACCAAUUGCGUAGGCAAGUUACUAAGUCAUAACUGACGCUGAGGCACGAAAGUGUGGGUAUCAAACAGGAUUAGAUACCCCGGUAGUCCCUGAGCGGGCUGGCAAGGCGCAU